RNAcentral lists this ribosomal RNA (401 nucleotides) under uncultured bacterium. Its description in RNAcentral is "bacterial SSU rRNA". It matches the Rfam family "Bacterial small subunit ribosomal RNA", at positions 359 to 776 of the family's 1533-position model. The record is from RNAcentral.
GAAUAUUGCACAAUGGGCGCAAGCCUGAUGCAGCGACGCCGCGUGAACGAAGAAGGAUUUCGGUCUGUAAAGUUCUUUUCUGUGUGACGAGAGUGGACGGUAGCACAGGAAUAAGUCUCGGCUAACUACGUGCCAGCAGCCGCGGUAAAACGUAGGAGGCAAGCGUUAUCCGGAGUUACUGGGCGUAAAGCGCGUGUAGGUGGGCUGGUAAGUUACUUAUGAAAGCUCUGGGCUAAACUCGGAGAGGUUAAGUGAUACUGCUAGUCUUGAGGGGAUGAGAGGUAAGUGGAAUUCCGCGUGUAGUGGUGAAAUGCGUAGAUAUGCGGAGGAACACCAGUGGCGAAGGCGACUUACUGGCAUCUUACUGACACUCAGACGCGAAAGCAUGGGUAGCGAACGGG